RNAcentral lists this ribosomal RNA (160 nucleotides) under uncultured bacterium. Its description in RNAcentral is "partial 16S rRNA". It matches the Rfam family "Bacterial small subunit ribosomal RNA", at positions 355 to 507 of the family's 1533-position model. The record is from RNAcentral.
UGGGGAAUUUUGGACAAUGGGCGCAAGCCUGAUCCAGCAAUGCCGCGUGAGUGAAGAAGGCCUUCGGGUUGUAAAGCUCUUUUGUCAGGGAAGAAACGGGUUUUUCUAAUACAGAGAUCUAAUGACGGUACCUGAAGAAUAAGCACCGGCUAACUACGUG